UACGGGGGGGGCAAGCGUUGUUCGGAAUCACUGGGCUUAAAGCGUGUGUAGGCGGAUCUGUAAGUACCUUGUGAAAUCCCACGGCUCAACCGUGGAACUGCUUGGUAUACUGCGGGUCUUGAGCCACCUAGGGGCAAGUGGAACAAACGGUGGAGCGGUGAAAUGCGUAGAUAUCGUUUGGAACGCCAAUGGUGAAAACAACUUGCUGGGGGUGUGCUGACGCUGAGACACGAAAGCCAGGGGAGCAAACGGG
This 253-nucleotide ribosomal RNA is filed under the name uncultured bacterium. RNAcentral's name for it is "partial 16S ribosomal RNA". It matches the Rfam family "Bacterial small subunit ribosomal RNA", at positions 524 to 776 of the family's 1533-position model. The record is from RNAcentral.